GAGGAUACAGCUCAGUGGUAGAGCAUAUGCUUAGCAGGCAUGAGGUCCUGGGUUCAACCCCCAGUACCUCU
Molecule: transfer RNA, 71 nt
Filed under: Camelus bactrianus (Bactrian camel)
Lineage: Eukaryota; Metazoa; Chordata; Mammalia; Artiodactyla; Camelidae
Also listed under: 3 other names
Rfam family: tRNA
About the family: Transfer RNA (tRNA) molecules are approximately 80 nucleotides in length. Their secondary structure includes four short double-helical elements and three loops (D, anti-codon, and T loops).
Source: Rfam by way of RNAcentral